RNAcentral lists this ribosomal RNA (393 nucleotides) under uncultured bacterium. RNAcentral describes it as "partial 16S ribosomal RNA". It matches the Rfam family "Bacterial small subunit ribosomal RNA", at positions 523 to 918 of the family's 1533-position model. The record is from RNAcentral.
AUACGGAGGAUCCGAGCGUUAUCCGGGUUUAUUGGGUUUAAAGGGAGCGUAGGUGGGAUAUUAAGUCAGCUGUGAAAGUUUGGGGCUCAACCUUAAAAUUGCAGUUGAUACUGGUUUCCUUGAGUACGGUACAGGUGGGCGGAAUUCGUGGUGUAGCGGUGAAAUGCUUAGAUAUCACGAAGAACUCCGAUCGCGAAGGCAGCUCACCGGGCCGGAACUGACACUGAUGCUCGAAAGUGCGGGUAUCAAACAGGAUUAGAUACCCUGGUAGUCCGCACAGUAAACGAUGAAUACUCGCUGUUUGCGAUACACUGUAAGCGGCCAAGCGAAAGCGUUAAGUAUUCCACCUGGGGAGUACGCCGGCAACGGUGAAACUCAAAUGAAUUGACGGGG